UACGUAGGGGGCAAGCGUUGUCCGGAAUCAUUGGGCGUAAAGCGCGUGUAGGCGGCCCGGUAAGUCUGGUGUGAAAACUUGAGGCUCAACCUCAAGCUGUCAUCGGAUACUGUCGGGCUUGAGUCUGGAAGAGGAGAGUGGAAUUCCUGGUGUAGCGGUGGAAUGCGCAGAUAUCAGGAGGAACACCUAUGGCGAAGGCAGCUCUCUGGUACAUGACUGACGCUGAGACGCGAAAGCGUGGGUAGCAAACAGG
RNAcentral lists this ribosomal RNA (253 nucleotides) under uncultured bacterium. RNAcentral's name for it is "partial 16S ribosomal RNA". It matches the Rfam family "Bacterial small subunit ribosomal RNA", at positions 524 to 776 of the family's 1533-position model. The record is from RNAcentral.